Molecule: ribosomal RNA, 170 nt
Filed under: uncultured Actinomycetes bacterium
Lineage: Bacteria; Bacillati; Actinomycetota; Actinomycetes
Description: uncultured actinobacterium partial 16S ribosomal RNA
Rfam family: Bacterial small subunit ribosomal RNA
Source: RNAcentral
UUUCCCCCGGGGGGCCCCGGGCCCGUCCCGCCGCCCCCGCCCGCCUACGGGAGGCAGCAGUGGGGAAUAUUGCGCAAUGGGCGAAAGCCUGAUGCAGCGACGCCGCGUGAGGGACGAAGGCCUUCGGGUUGUAAACCUCUUUCAGCAGGGACGAAGCGAAAGUGAGUCGA